UCACGGAAGUGGCCGGGCGGCGGCGCGCCGGGCCCGGGCAGUGCUUGCUCCUGCUGGGGCGCUGCGGUAGCGCCCGGGUCCCGGCGUCGCCAUGACCAGCGAGCUGGACAUCUUCGUGGGGAACACGACCCUCAUCGACGAGGACGUGUAUCGCCUCUGGCUGGACGGUUAUUCGGUGAGCGACGCGGUGGCCCUGAGGGUGCGCUCGGGAAUCCUGGAGCAGACCGGCGCCACAGCAGCGGUGCUGCAGAGCGACACCAUGGACCACUACCGUACUUUCCAAAUGCUUGAGCGCCUGCUACACGCCCCGCCCAAGCUGCUGCACCAGCUCAUCUUUCAGAUCCCGCCCUCUCGACAGGCGCUGCUCAUCGAGAGGUACUAUGCCUUUGACGAGGCCUUUGUGCGGGAGGUGCUGGGCAAGAAGCUGUCCAAGGGCACUAAGAAAGACCUGGAUGACAUCAGCACCAAAACAGGCAUCACCCUCAAGAGCUGCCGGAGACAGUUUGACAACUUUAAGCGAGUCUUCAAGGUGGUGGAGGAAAUGCGGGGCUCCCUGGUCGAUAACAUCCAGCAACACUUCCUCCUGUCCGACCGGCUGGCCAGGGACUAUGCAGCCAUCGUCUUCUUUGCCAACAAUCGUUUUGAGACAGGGAAGAAAAAACUGCAGUAUCUGAGCUUUGGGGACUUUGCCUUCUGUGCUGAGCUCAUGAUCCAGAACUGGACCCUCGGAGCCGUCGGUGAGGCCCCCACCGACCCAGACCCCCAGGCGGAUGACAUGGACAUGGACUUAGACAAGGAGUUUCUCCAGGACUUGAAGGAGCUCAAGGUGCUUGUGGCUGACAAGGACCUUCUGGACCUGCACAAGAGCCUGGUGUGCACUGCCCUCCGGGGAAAGCUCGGGGUCUUCUCUGAGAUGGAAGCCAACUUCAAGGUCUGUGGCCCAAUCCAGCCUCUGUCCCAUUGGCAUCGUCAGCCUCCAGAGCACUGUCCCCUCCGGGCAGCUCUGCUCAUGCCUGAGAUUGACCGGCAGGUGGCGCUGCUGCUCCCUCUGCCUGCCUGUGAAGGGGGAGCCAGCUCUUAAACAAUGGGGAGUUAUUUGAUUGAGGGAGGUGGAUAGAUUUGGGCUCAGCCCCCAGCCUCUUGGGCAGAAGGCAGAACUCCCAGGCUCCCUGCCCCACAGAACCUGUCCCGGGGGCUGGUGAAUGUGGCCGCCAAGCUGACCCACAAUAAGGAUGUCAGAGACCUGUUUGUGGACCUUGUGGAGAAGUUCGUGGAACCCUGCCGCUCCGACCACUGGCCGUUGA
RNA transcript from Delphinapterus leucas (beluga whale), 1304 nucleotides. It is a transcript of the gene named FGF1 intracellular binding protein, with no coding region annotated. Lineage: Eukaryota; Metazoa; Chordata; Mammalia; Artiodactyla; Monodontidae. The record is from RefSeq and is a predicted model, not a curated record.